RNAcentral lists this ribosomal RNA (253 nucleotides) under uncultured bacterium. RNAcentral describes it as "partial 16S ribosomal RNA". It matches the Rfam family "Bacterial small subunit ribosomal RNA", at positions 524 to 776 of the family's 1533-position model. The record is from RNAcentral.
UACGGAGGGGGCUAGCGUUGUUCGGAAUUACUGGGCGUAAAGCGCGCGUAGGCGGCUUUGUAAGUUAGAGGUGAAAGCCCGGAGCUCAACUCCGGAACUGCCUUUAAGACUGCAUCGCUAGAAUUGUGGAGAGGUGAGUGGAAUUCCGAGUGUAGAGGUGAAAUUCGUAGAUAUUCGGAAGAACACCAGUGGCGAAGGCGACUCACGGGACACAUAUUGACGCUGAGGUGCGAAAGCGUGGGGAGCAAACAGG